UACGUAGGGGGCGAGCGUUGUCCGGAUUUAUUGGGCGUAAAGAGCUCGUAGGCGGUUUGGCAAGUCGGGUGUGAAACCUCCAGGCUCAACCUGGAGUCGCCACCCGAUACUGCUAUGACUUGAGUCUGGUAGGGGAUCACGGAAUUCCUGGUGUAGCGGUGAAAUGCUCAGAUAUCAGGAGGAACACCGGUGGCGAAGGCGGUGAUCUGGGCCAGUACUGACGCUCAAGAGCGAAAGCGUGGGUAGCGAACAGG
RNAcentral lists this ribosomal RNA (254 nucleotides) under uncultured bacterium. RNAcentral's name for it is "partial 16S ribosomal RNA". It matches the Rfam family "Bacterial small subunit ribosomal RNA", at positions 524 to 776 of the family's 1533-position model. The record is from RNAcentral.